This is a transfer RNA of Bacteroidetes oral taxon 274 str. F0058, 74 nucleotides long. It matches the Rfam family "tRNA". From Rfam's summary of the family: Transfer RNA (tRNA) molecules are approximately 80 nucleotides in length. Their secondary structure includes four short double-helical elements and three loops (D, anti-codon, and T loops). Lineage: Bacteria; Pseudomonadati; Bacteroidota. The record is from Rfam.
GGUCCGGUAGCUCAGCUGGAUAGAGCAACAGCCUUCUAAGCUGUGGGUCAGGGGUUCGAAUCCCUUCCGGAUCA